Molecule: ribosomal RNA, 647 nt
Filed under: uncultured bacterium
Lineage: Bacteria
Description: bacterial SSU rRNA
Rfam family: Bacterial small subunit ribosomal RNA
Source: RNAcentral
UACUAGCCGUUUGCGAUAUACUGAUGUGGCAAAGCGGAAAGCGUUAAGUAUUCCACCUGGGGAGUACGUUUGCAAGAAUGAAACUCAAAGGAAUUGACGGGGGCCCGCACAAGCGGAGGAACAUGUGGUUUAAUUCGAUGAUACGCGAGGAACCUUACCCGGGCUUGAAAUGCAGAGGAAUUACGAGGAAACUUGUACGCCAGCAAUGGUCUCUGUGUAGGUGCUGCAUGGUUGUCGUCAGCUCGUGCCGUGAGGUGUCGGCUUAAGUGCCAUAACGAGCGCAACCCCUAUCAUUAGUUACUAACAGGUUAUGCUGAGGACUCUAGUGAGACUGCCACCGUAAGGUGUGAGGAAGGUGGGGAUGACGUCAAAUCAGCACGGCCCUUACGUCCGGGGCGACACACGUGUUACAAUGGGGGGUACAGAGGGUUGCUACUUGGUGACAAGAUGCUAAUCUCUUAAAGCCUCUCUCAGUUCGGAUCGAAGUCUGCAACUCGACUUCGUGAAGCUGGAUUCGCUAGUAAUCGCGCGUCAGCCAUGGCGCGGUGAAUACGUUCCCGGGCCUUGUACACACCGCCCGUCAAGCCAUGGAAGCCGGGGGGACCUGAAGUACGUAACCGCAAGGAGCGUCCUAGGGUAAAACUGGU